Molecule: ribosomal RNA, 492 nt
Filed under: uncultured bacterium
Lineage: Bacteria
Description: partial 16S ribosomal RNA
Rfam family: Bacterial small subunit ribosomal RNA
Source: RNAcentral
AGUGAACGCUGGCGGUAGGCCUAACACAUGCAAGUCGAACGGCAGCACAGUAAGAGCUUGCUCUUACGGGUGGCGAGUGGCGGACGGGUGAGGAAUACAUCGGAAUCUACUUUUUCGUGGGGGAUAACGUAGGGAAACUUACGCUAAUACCGCAUACGACCUACGGGUGAAAGCAGGGGAUCUUCUGACCUUGCGCGAUUGAAUGAGCCGAUGUCGGAUUAGCUAGUUGGCGGGGUAAAGGCCCACCAAGGCGACGAUCCGUAGCUGGUCUGAGAGGAUGAUCAGCCACACUGGAACUGAGACACGGUCCAGACUCCUACGGGAGGCAGCAGUGGGGAAUAUUGGACAAUGGGCGCAAGCCUGAUCCAGCCAUACCGCGUGGGUGAAGAAGGCCUUCGGGUUGUAAAGCCCUUUUGUUGGGAAAGAAAAGCAGCAGGUUAAUACCCCGCUGUUCUGACGGUACCCAAAGAAUAAGCACCGGCUAACUUUGUG